AGGACUUGGGAGGCCCUGGAAAGGAGUCUGGCUGAAAUGGAAAUGCUGUGAGAAGCCACAUAAAUGUGGAGUUUCAACAAGCGAGCGAUGAGAUGAGAUGUGAUUUGUAUUCUAAGACCAGGUCUUCCUGAGAAGAGGAAGCACCGGGGGCAAGUCAGAGCAGAGAUACAUGUUGACUCGGACCCCAAGGAGAAUGUUUAUGUGAACAGGUCAUCGUACUGGCUGGAGGCCGCUCAGGGAAGAGGUAGAGUUACACUUCCGGGUUUGAAUCCUUGCUCCACCACCUACUUGCCUGUGGGAUCCUGGGAACCAGGCCCAGGGAGCCGGGGUGACUUCUCAGAGUCACAUGACACAUGCGGCCAGCCUGAGUCCGGGGCUCUGGCUGUGACCCCAAGAACCAGGAAUGUGCCCGCCUCUGACUCCUCGAAGGGAUUUAUUCAUUCUGAAGACACUGUUUUCUGCUCCUCAGAGCCAUCUUGUUGAGGCAGAGGGUGACCAGCGGCCCCCCACUCCUCCCCAGGAUGCUCAACAGAGGGGUCUCCUGGGCUGUGGGAUUUUGGGCUCUAAAACUGGGCAAAUUGAGAUGAGUUGGUCCCCCUCUGUGAGCCCUCCCACAAGCACCCAGUCACCUGCUCAGAAGGGCCUCGGAGACCUGGCCUGACUCCUCCAGGAGCCACACGCUCUUCCAUCUCACUGCCAGGGCUGAUUAGGAAACUAGAAGCUCCUCUUCGUAUUUGAGACAGAAAAUAUACACCAUUCAGGAAAUUGGUGGGAAAACUGAGACACCAAAUAGGGGAGUGGAAAAACUCAGAGAUUAGCAAUAACCAAUGGUGCCAAGACCAUUUUCUGGCUGCAGUGACAGAGGGAGGAGGUAGGGCUCCUGGCCCCCUGGGGGUGGGGGGUCACCCUUGUAGGGUUGGGGGUCACUCUUGGACGUUGAAGUCAGGUGGACCUGACCUGGGGAAGCUGGAGUCACCAGAGACCGAGCCACCUGCGGAGGCGCUGCUGCUGGGACAGAGGGAACCACCGUGCUGGCCGCUUUCCACCCCUCGCCCUCGGUCUUGCAGCAGGGGUUUCUCCUCAUAUGUGGAAGGUCCAGGGGCUGGGGACUGUGAGCAGAAGCCUGGCUCAUUGGGCAGGCAGGAGAACUUCCCUCAGGCCUGGGUUUCUCAUCCUGGGGGAGCCAGGCUUCUUUGCAUGUCAGCUCCAGUGCUGACACACGGGUUUGGAAUCAAACCCCCGUGACAAUCAGCUACUUGAAUCAAAGAAGCUCAGCCUCAUCAAACAUUUAAGCUGAAAGGCAUCUCCAAGAUCAGGGGAACACAAGCCCGGACUGCUGACGGAGAGACAGUGGCGCCAGUGUCAGGCCCAGAAGCGGGUCCAACUGCUGCUCAGGCUGGGGCAGCUUCCGCCACCGGCCACCUUGGCCCUCACGCCCAUCCCGGGAAAGGAGGCCGUGGUCCCACUGCGCAGGCGCACCCACGGACAGCGUGAGCCAGAUCCAGCCCUUCCCUUGACAGUGGGGACAUGCGCUUGAGACUCCUGCCUCUAGGAGGCUAAUGGCUGUAAUUACAAAUGCUUAUUGCAAGAAAAGGAAAACUUCUUAGCAAAAACAAGUAAAGUCUAGAAGUUCUGAUUCCAUCUUUAUCCAGAACAAUGACAGGAGGGAGUACCGAAAAAUCCAACACUUUGAUUUCGUGAGAUGAUGGGAUUCAGAUGAACGAAAAUGUUUUUCUUAACUUUUGGUCCCCAACAAUAUUGCGCUGCUUCGGCAAGCUUUAUAUCUCACAUAUACAAUGUGCGUGUUUAUUCAACAAAUAUUUAUUGUGUACCUACCAUUCAGUCACUCUGCAGACGUUUAUUAGAUGCUUAAUAUUGAGCGAGGCGCUGUGCCCGUGGUGAGUGAAGCGGGCGUAAUUGGCGUUGUCGCCAAGCUCACCCUCUGUGUGUCCCAGGUCCUGGGGAGGGCACUCCCUCUGUCUUCAUCUUCUCCCCUCCCUCCCUUCCUUGUUUCCCAAGUCCCGCCACCCUGGGAGGCAAAAUGUGAUGCCCUGAAUAGUGAUGGAUGGUGUUUCUU
RNAcentral lists this long non-coding RNA (2077 nucleotides) under Sus scrofa (pig). RNAcentral's name for it is "lncRNA (ENSSSCG00025010280.1)". The record is from RNAcentral. Lineage: Eukaryota; Metazoa; Chordata; Mammalia; Artiodactyla; Suidae.